This 94-nucleotide transfer RNA is filed under the name Halorarum halophilum. Its description in RNAcentral is "Halobonum sp. Gai3-2 tRNA-Gly". Lineage: Archaea; Methanobacteriati; Methanobacteriota; Halobacteria; Halobacteriales; Haloferacaceae. The record is from RNAcentral.
GGUAGGGUAGCUCGCUGGCAAGAGCACCACCCGUCCGAGGUGGAGGCUGGUGGGAACCCGCUAGCCCCGUGUGGUUCGAAUCCCACCCCUACCG